Molecule: non-coding RNA, 158 nt
Organism: Devosia sp. LC5
Lineage: Bacteria; Pseudomonadati; Pseudomonadota; Alphaproteobacteria; Hyphomicrobiales; Devosiaceae
Rfam family: 6S / SsrS RNA
About the family: E. coli 6S RNA was the first non coding RNA to be sequenced, but its function was unknown until recently. It consists of 184 nucleotides that fold into an extended hairpin structure with a large single-stranded internal bulge.
Source: Rfam
GUGCUGCUGCCCGGUGCGUGAUGGAUAACAAUAUCCCCGGGGCCUUAUCGAUUCCUAAGGGAGCUGUCCCUGACCGGACCCGUGGGUUCGGACAUACGGCGCCCACCUACGUUGUAGGUUCCCGGGAUCGACUAUCCCACGGCCAGGGUGGCACCUAG